Long non-coding RNA from Triticum aestivum (bread wheat), 1133 nucleotides. RefSeq lists it as uncharacterized. The transcript is spliced from 3 exons. NCBI's taxonomy places the organism in Eukaryota, Viridiplantae, Streptophyta, Magnoliopsida, Poales, Poaceae. The record is from RefSeq and is a predicted model, not a curated record.
CACUCAGACGGGCACCCAGGUAAGCUACACCCAGUCGGCACAUACACCUAGCUGGGCACAAACACACAGCACCAGGAUCGAGCGGAUGGACAACAAGGUGAUGAGGAGGACGACGAGGAUGAUGAUCCAGCUGAUGUAAAGAAGAGGGGUAGAGAAGAAAGCUUCAGCAUGGGGAGGACGAGCUGUUGUGCGAUGCAUAGUUGGCUACUAUGUGGAGCCCACAUGAGGCUGUGUCGAAGUAUUGCGGGCGCUUGAGACAACUCAUGGCACGGUGGCCUAGUAGUGCACAAAUCACCGAGCCGCCUUCCCGUGCGUGUAGUUUGUUCUUGAAGUUGGAGAAGAAAACCUUCACCAUCAUGCAUUGUUGGUUGAAAUUGAGUACACAGCCCAAGUGAAACCUAUACAUUGCCAAGACCGUUACCCAAGACACCUAGGAAUAAACCGGUGAUCCAACCGACCGAACAAAAGAAUCGCCCAAGAAGGUUAGAAUAGGCUUCCUGGGAAAGAAAUGGGAGGAGGAGAGGACGAAGCGAGAAGGUACGCAAGCUAAGAUGAUAGAGAGGUUCGAAGACAUCUUGACGAAGAUGGAGGAGGCAUACGUAGUGCUCGGACGCCAAGGAGGCAUGCAAUGCCGAGAGGUUUAACAUGUUGAUGACGGCAAGUGAGAAGAAGCUCAAGCUCUGAGAGAGGAAGACCAUGCUUGAAGAGAAGAAGAUCAAGCUCGAGGAGAAGAAGGUGGUGAUCAGAGUGCCUCAGACGAUGUGAACAUGCUAAGCUUGAAGAUGGAGAAUUUAGAUGAGGACGCAAGAAUGAUCGUGCAAGUUGUUUGUUUGAAGCAGUGGAAGAAGGAUGAGUUGAAGAGGGUGGCCAAGGCGGAUAAGGAGGCAGCGGCGGCGCCCUAGACGAUGGCGAUGGCAGUAUGAGCGUGGAGGCUCGGAUUGCUGGUCUGGCAAAACAGAAAGUUCAUUUGUUUACAUGGACUGCCGGACUGAUAUUCUUUUGUGAUCGGAAAUUUAAAAACUAAGCAUACGUGCAUCUUUUUGGUUGUGAUCGGGAUAUGAUGUGAUCCGGCACCACUGUGAUCUGGCACGCACUAUGGAUCAGACGUAUUUGAAUUUCAAAUUUUCUUUUAC